UGUUGCUCUGUUCGAUUUGGUGGUUCCCCAUGUCCCAUUAGAUACCUUCCCAAUGGCUAGGGCCUCCAUGUUAUAUAUGGUGUUCACGGUGAGAUAAAGUUUGAGGUCGAUUUGAUCCGUAGUUAUUCUUUGCGACUAAGUUGACAUAUUGCUAUAUGUGAGCACACUUAUAGAUUUUGGUCCUCUGGAUAUGGUAUUUUUUUACUACGCUUUACAGAUAUGGCUUUUUUUGUAGACAUUAUUAUGCGAAAAAAUUGCUACGAGGGUACUAUCAGUAAUAGCUUUUGUUUUCUAUCUGUUCUCCACUGGCCAUUUUCUGUGCAGUUUGUUUUCUUUUAUAUUUGUGCUUGGUUACAAGUUUUUGUGUACUUGUUAUAGAUCUCUCUCUCUCUCUCUCUCUCUGACCAAUGAUCUUGGCUCGCAGGUCACCGAGGCAGACGAGGUUAUGGAUUACCUGAUGAGGUACUACUGAAUACUGAUGAUCUUACAUGUCUCUCUCUCUCUCUCUCAUGUCAAGUUCAAUUCCCUCUUAUUUUGCAGAAUGGAAUAUUUUGUUGCUUUUUGCAAUGCUAUAUUUGUUAUAUACUGUGUGAUGGAAGUAUAUGUUUUCCUGCCUUUGGACGCAGAAGCGAGCCAUCGCCGGCGGGCUAACGCUGUUGCACGUCAUGGCGGGGACGGCCUUGUGGCAGUCGUGCGUGCGCUACUCGAGUUGGGCACCGAUGUGGAGGCCCCUGGUCAGAAGGGACGCGGCUGGAGCUGCUGCUGGAGGAGACGCGGAAGCGUUGGACCCGACUCCUUUGUGCAGCCAUGCUAGCCUGCUGGAAGAUCCAUGGCCUGCCUGGCCAGCGUGACCAUUGAACAAAUCGUCUCUCAAAACCCUCCCUCCUCCUCGUAAGUGUUGAUUUCAAUUGUUUGCACCAACUUCUGCUUUGUCCGCAAUGUUACAGAUGCUUGUAGAUUUAGCAAAUAUAAUUUCUUAUUAUAUGUUUUCACAUUUGAAUUUGCAUCCUGGUUUUGCUUCGAGGAUUGUAGUUCA
This 1036-nucleotide long non-coding RNA is filed under the name Triticum aestivum (bread wheat). RNAcentral describes it as "long non-coding RNA (TAES_LNC014503)". The record is from RNAcentral. Lineage: Eukaryota; Viridiplantae; Streptophyta; Magnoliopsida; Poales; Poaceae.